GACAGAGGGUGCAAACGUUGUUCGGAAUUACUGGGCGUAAAGCGCGUGUAGGCGGCUUGGCAAGUCGGGUGUGAAAGCCCUGGGCUCAACCUAGGAAGUGCAUUCGAAACUCCCGAGCUGGAGUCCUGGAGAGGAAGGCGGAAUUCUCGGUGUAGAGGUGAAAUUCGUAGAUAUCGAGAGGAACACCGGUGGCGAAGGCGGCCUUCUGGACAGUGACUGACGCUGAGACGCGAAAGCGUGGGGAGCAAACAGG
Molecule: ribosomal RNA, 253 nt
Filed under: uncultured bacterium
Lineage: Bacteria
Description: partial 16S ribosomal RNA
Rfam family: Bacterial small subunit ribosomal RNA
Source: RNAcentral